RNAcentral lists this ribosomal RNA (497 nucleotides) under uncultured bacterium. RNAcentral's name for it is "partial 16S ribosomal RNA". It matches the Rfam family "Bacterial small subunit ribosomal RNA", at positions 28 to 507 of the family's 1533-position model. The record is from RNAcentral.
GAUGAACGCUGGCGGCGUGCCUAAUACAUGCAAGUCGAGCGAACAGACGAGGAGCUUGCUCCUCUGAUGUUAGCGGCGGACGGGUGAGUAACACGUGGAUAACCUACCUAUAAGACUGGGAUAACUUCGGGAAACCGGAGCUAAUACCGGAUAACAUGUUGAACCGCAUGGUUCAACAGUGAAAGACGUUCUUGCUGUCACUUAUAGAUGGAUCCGCGCCGCAUUAGCUAGUUGGUAAGGUAACGGCUUACCAAGGCAACGAUGCGUAGCCGACCUGAGAGGGUGAUCGGCCACACUGGAACUGAGACACGGUCCAGACUCCUACGGGAGGCAGCAGUAGGGAAUCUUCCGCAAUGGGCGAAAGCCUGACGGAGCAACGCCGCGUGAGUGAAGAAGGUCUUCGGAUCGUAAAACUCUGUUAUUAGGGAAGAACAAAUGUGUAAGUAACUAUGCACGUCUUGACGGUACCUAAUCAGAAAGCCACGGCUAACUACGUG